Molecule: ribosomal RNA, 196 nt
Filed under: uncultured bacterium
Lineage: Bacteria
Description: partial 16S ribosomal RNA
Rfam family: Bacterial small subunit ribosomal RNA
Source: RNAcentral
ACGCUCGACACCUACGGGGCAGCAGUGGGGAAUAUUGCACAAUGGGGGAAACCCUGAUGCAGCGACGCCGCGUGGAGGAAGAAGGUCUUCGGAUUGUAAACUCCUGUUGUUGGGGAAAAAGAGGAUGGUACCCAACAAGGAAGUGACGGCUAACUACGCGCCAGCAGCCGCGGUAAUCUGAGCGGGCUGGCAAGGC